Molecule: ribosomal RNA, 239 nt
Filed under: uncultured bacterium
Lineage: Bacteria
Description: partial 16S ribosomal RNA
Rfam family: Bacterial small subunit ribosomal RNA
Source: RNAcentral
UACGGAGGGAGCUAGCGUUGUUCGGAAUUACUGGGCGUAAAGCGCGCGUAGGCGGCUUUGUAAGUUAGAGGUGAAAGCCCGGAGCUCAACUCCGGAACUGCCUUUAAAACUGCAUCGCUUGAAUCCAGGAGAGGUGAGUGGAAUUCCGAGUGUAGAGGUGAAAUUCGUAGAUAUUCGGAAGAACACCAGUGGCGAAGGCGGCUCACUGGCCCGGUACUGACGCUGAGGUGGCGAAAGCG